This 1277-nucleotide long non-coding RNA is filed under the name Papio anubis (olive baboon). RNAcentral's name for it is "lncRNA (ENSPANG00000041010.1)". Lineage: Eukaryota; Metazoa; Chordata; Mammalia; Primates; Cercopithecidae. The record is from RNAcentral.
AAAAUGUCUAAAAUCAAAGUUAAUUUGCACAGCACAGAGAAGACAAAAUGAACCCAAACUUUACAGUAUUAUUUUAUGAAGACUACUCCAAGAAACAGGGUCUCCAGUAAUCCUGUCUGGCUGUGAAGGAAAUUAACUAGGAGUGGGGUGCUGGGGAGGGAGGCUGAGAACCACAUUAUCUCCCAGGGAGAAUGAGAAGUCACAGACAUUUUUCAUAAAUCUUCUCUUACGGCAAUUUAAAAACCAGAAAGAGAUAAAUGAGUGACAGAUCCAACCGUGCCUGGCUUUGCCAUGACUAAUCCAUGGCUACCAUCCCUCUAAUCAGCAGGAAGUAGUCUUCUUUUUCUUUUAAUGAGGUCACAAUCAUUAGUCACUCCAGUAUUAUCAUCUGAUGUCAUUGUGAUUCUGUUUCAGGGAGAGAUUGGGUGUGGCACGUUCUCACUUUGCAUCAAACAUACAACCACCAGUGCUUUUGGGGGUGAACAUGCUUGAACUUAACUCCAAAUUCUAGCUUUCAGAUGGGCAGGAGCCCCUCCAUCCCAUGGUAGAGGAAACAGUUUUCUUCAUUGUGCACCCGGUCACAAGGAGGAGUCUCGCUUUGUCACCUAGGCUGGAGGUGCAGUGACAUUAUCACGGUUCACCUCAGCCUUGACCUCCCGGGCUCAAGUGAUCCUCUCGCCUCAGUCUCCGGAGUACCUAAGACUACAGGUAUGCACCACCACACCUGGCUAAUUUUUGUAUUUUUUGUACAGACCAGAGUUUCACUGUGUUGCUCAGGCUGCUCUCCAACUCCGGAGUUCAAUGGAUCCUCCCAUCUUGGCCUCCCAAAGUGAGCCACUGUGACUGGCCUCAUCAUCAUACCUUUUUAAAACAUGUUUUCUACUAUGUGAGGGUAACAGGAAAGUGGGGGGCACUUUCCAUCCAUUCCCGAACAAUCCCACCUGAUUGUCAAGUGAUCCCUGAAUCUUCUAGACUGUGAAUAAUCUAAUACAAAUUUCCUAUACAGCGUAGCUACACCCUGCCUGGCAUUUCAUGUCACUAUUUCAUGAAGGGCUAUGUUAUCUGAAAUUAUCCAUUUCUUGAUAACAAAAUUUUCAUUUUUCACCUCUUUCACAUGCGUGUGUCCCUGCUUAUCCAUAACUGCCUCCUAUGAAUUAUCAUGUUCCCUCUGUGCUGAGGGAUAACAGCGCAAAGUGAAAAUGUGCUGAAUUCAAUCGAUGAUAGGCCGAGGCCUUGAAAAAGAGAGGCAAACCCAGAUGUCAUGUGUGAAAAUUUCC